Molecule: ribosomal RNA, 431 nt
Filed under: uncultured bacterium
Lineage: Bacteria
Description: partial 16S ribosomal RNA
Rfam family: Bacterial small subunit ribosomal RNA
Source: RNAcentral
AACGAACGCUGGCGGCAGGCUUAACACAUGCAAGUCGAACGCCCCGCAAGGGGAGUGGCAGACGGGUGAGUAACGCGUGGGAACAUACCCUUUUCUACGGAAUAGCUCUGGGAAACUGGAAUUAAUACCGUAUACGCCCUACGGGGGAAAGAUUUAUCGGGGAAGGAUUGGCCCGCGUUGGAUUAGCUAGUUGGUGGGGUAAAGGCCUACCAAGGCGACGAUCCAUAGCUGGUCUGAGAGGAUGAUCAGCCACAUUGGGACUGAGACACGGCCCAAACUCCUACGGGAGGCAGCAGUGGGGAAUAUUGGACAAUGGGCGCAAGCCUGAUCCAGCCAUGCCGCGUGAGUGAUGAAGGCCUGAGGGUUGUAAAGCUCUUUCACCGAUGAAGAUAAUGACGGUAGUCGGAGAAGAAGCCCCGGCUAACCUCGUG